AGAGUUUGAUCAUGGCUCAGGACGAACGCUGGCGGCGUGCUUAACACAUGCAAGUCAAGGGGGCGGGUUUCGGCCCGCAACCGGCGAACGGGUGCGUAACACGUGAGCGACCUGCCGAUCUGCGGGGGGAUAGCCGGCCCAACGGCCGGGUAAUACCGCAUACGCUUUUUCCUGGGGCAUCCUGGGGGAAGGAAACUUCCGGGGCGGAUCGAGGGGCUCGCGGCCUAUCAGCUAGUUGGUGAGGUAACGGCUCACCAAGGCGACGACGGGUAGCUGGUCUGAGAGGAUGGCCAGCCACAUUGGGACUGAGAGACGGCCCAGACUCCUACGGGAGGCAGCAGUGGGGAAUCUUGCGCAAUGGCCUAACGGCUGACGCAGCGACGCCGCGUGGAGGAUGACGGCCUUCGGGUUGUAAACUCCUGUUGCCCGGGACGAACAGCCAGUUUCGACUGGUCUGACGGUACCGGGUGAGGAAGCACCGGCUAACUCCGUGCCAGCAGCCGCGGUAAUACGGAGGGUGCGAGCGUUGUCCGGAAUCACUGGGCGUAAAGGGCGCGUAGGCGGUGGGGUAAGCGUGUGGUGAAAGUCCGGGGCUCAACCCCGGAUCGGCCGUGCGAACUGCCCCACUUGAGCACUGUAGAGGCAGGUGGAAUUCCGGGUGUAGCGGUGGAAUGCGUAGAGAUCCGGAAGAACACCGGUGGCGAAGGCGGCCUGCUGGGCAGUGGCUGACGCUGAGGCGCGACAGCGUGGGGAGCAAACAGGAUUAGAUACCCUAGUAGUCC
Molecule: ribosomal RNA, 782 nt
Filed under: uncultured bacterium
Lineage: Bacteria
Description: bacterial SSU rRNA
Rfam family: Bacterial small subunit ribosomal RNA
Source: RNAcentral